Molecule: unclassified non-coding RNA, 300 nt
Filed under: uncultured fungus
Lineage: Eukaryota; Fungi
Description: sequence contains 5.8S rRNA gene, ITS2
Rfam family: 5.8S ribosomal RNA (bases 1-71)
Source: RNAcentral
GUGAGUCAUCGAAUCUUUGAACGCAUAUGGCGCUCACGGGUAUGCCCGUGAGCAUGUCUGUUUGAGUAUCAGUUCAUCCAUCUCGUACAAACCAAAUACGUUUGGCUUGUUCGAGGACGUUGGGUGUUCGAAGGCCGCAUUCAUCGUGCCUUCGACGCUUGAAAUGAAUGGCAACACCAGAGUUCCAAGCAAUGUCGCUUGACGGGUUCGUUCCAGCUCUGCCCCUCGUUGCUUUUCGAAGUGACUUGUGUGCACGGCUACGCGUAUCUGAAUGUGCUGUAAUGGCAACCAUACAGAUAC